Long non-coding RNA from Conger conger (European conger), 1739 nucleotides. RefSeq lists it as uncharacterized. The record is from RefSeq and is a predicted model, not a curated record. The transcript is spliced from 3 exons. NCBI's taxonomy places the organism in Eukaryota, Metazoa, Chordata, Actinopteri, Anguilliformes, Congridae.
CUGCAGCUGUGGGUCCCUCCAACUGUGUCACACAGUUUCAGAGAAAACAAAACUGAUUUUGAGGUAUUUCAGAGAAACAAAACUUAACUCUGCCUUAAAUAGCAGAGAUCAGGAGAAUGCUGAAGUGAGUCGGACUGAAGGACUCCUGGAGCGACUGGAGCAGGAGAUUGCUGAGCUGAGGAGGAGAGACGCUGAGCUGGAGCAGCUUUCACACACAGAGGAUCACAUCCAUUUCCUCCAGAGCUGUCAGUCUCUCUGUGCCCCUCCUGGACCUGGAGACUUACCCAGCAUCACAGUCAGUCCACACAUCUCUUUUAAGGCUAUGAGGAAAUCUGUCUCUGCCUCUGAGCGGAAAGAGGAAAUGGAGGAAGUCCAGAAGGGUUUGAAACUGCUCACAAUGGAUGAACCAGGUUGUUCCAUUUAACAGCACAAUCCUUUUUUAGUUAUAUAGUGUAUAUCUGAAAUCUUUUUCAGUGUCAACAUUAUGGCAGGUAAAUGGCAGGCAUUUAUAUAGCGCCUUUAUCCAAAGCGCUGUACAAUUGAUGCUUCUCAUUCACCCAUUCAUACACACACUCACACACCGACGGUGAUUGGCUGCCAUGCAAGGCCCCGACCUGCUCGUCAGGAGCAUUUGGGGGUUAGGUGUCUUGCUCAGGGACACUUCGACACAGCCCGGGCGGGGGAUCGACCCGGCAACCCUCCGACUGCCAGACGACUGCUCUUACUGCCUGAGCCAUGUCGCCCCAUCAUCCCCCAUCCUCCCAUUUCUCUCUUAUCUUCUCUCUCAUCUUAUACAUGUUUCUUUAUGUCCCGUUCUCUCUCUCUUUGUGUCCCAGCAGUGAAAGAAGUCCAUACUGUGGAGCUCAGGACCAGAGAGGAUUUCUUACAGUAUUACUGUCAGCUCACACUGGACCGCAACACAGCAAAUAACUGCCUCUCCCUGCCUGAGGGGAACAGAGAGGCUAACCGUAAAAGGAAGCCCCACUUCCGUCCUGAUGAUGUGAAGAGAUUUAACAAGGCUGCAGUGCUGUGCAAACAGCCUCUGUCUGGCUGUCAUUACUGGGAGGUGGAUUGGAGUGGGAAAGGCAGAGUUAAUAUGGCAGUCGCAUAUGAAGAUAUCGACAGAAAAGCAGGGGCCCUGGGACAUGAUGACAAGUCCUGGAGACUGCUUUGCAGUGACACCAACUGUGGUUUCUGGCACAACAAUAAGCAAACUGAACUCACUGAUUCCCCCUCCUCCAGAAUAGGAGUGUACCUGGAUCACAAGGCAGGGAUUCUGUCCUUCUACAGCGUCGCUGGCACAAUGACCCGCCUGCACAGAAUCGAGACCAAAUUCACUCAGCCCCUCUAUCCUGGGUUUUGGCUUGAUGAAAACUGUUCUGUAAAACUGGUUGAUCUGGAAUCAGAGCCAGAGAAGAAGGCACUGCAGCCAGAUAAAAAGGAGAAGUAAAUGAACCAAUAAAGUUCUGAUUGUUUUGCUUGUAACCUGCAAGAGUGAUAUACAUUCAUUUUUAAAAUUAUCUGCUUAUUUGCUCCUUUACACUGAGUGGUGACACAACUUAGAAUAUAAAUCAUAUCCGGUAUAUCAUAGCAUCUAAUCAUCUUAUAUCUCUCUAUAUAUUUUUUCUUUUUCAUUUUUUUAAUUUUCAUUUUUUUGAAAGAACCAUGUAACAAUUUGUUGGGUGUUCAUUACUUUAUAACUGAAGAUGUUUUGAAUUCAAUAAAAUGUGCAAAUCAUU